Molecule: long non-coding RNA, 1591 nt
Organism: Mus spicilegus (steppe mouse)
Lineage: Eukaryota; Metazoa; Chordata; Mammalia; Rodentia; Muridae
Source: Ensembl
CCCCCCCCCCCCCAAAGCUCCGCCCCUAGCUGUGUAAAUCCUGCUCUUGGUUCAACUUCUUGCUGUCCACUCCUGGGAGCAGAGGCAGCCACCCCUGGAUUUGUCCCUCGUCUCCUUGGAUUCAUCCUUCCACUAGAUCUCUUUCCUGAGAUUUGCUGUCUGGUGGAACUCUCUUAUCAGAAGCAGCCAAGAAGCAAUGAAGAGAAGGGAAGAAUGAGAAAAGGGGAGCAAGGCUGAGUGAGCCUCGUGAGCAACUCGGCUCAGCUGGGGAGACCCUCUCCUGGGAGCUGCAAUGCCUCUGCUGAGGAGACUUCCUCUCAGAGCUGUGUGGUUCCUGGGCCGAGUGUCUCAGGAUGCUCUUCCAUCGGGAUAACCUUCUCCCCUCUGAGCAGUGUGGCUCCUGGGUUCCUGAGUCCCAGGAUACACUUCCAGACUGGUCAAAAUGUGAACCUGCCCAUCAUCAAAGAUCCAGUCUCUUGUAGAAAGAAGAUGGACCGGUAUGAUGUCAGAACUGUGUGAAAUCUCUUUCCCGGACCUAAGUUUCCCCACUGGCUGGCACCAGACCCCUUUAGCAUAUUUUCAUCCCUGUCAGGAAAGUUAAAGAACCAAAAAUGAUAGUGUAGAUAGAUAUCGCCAGUUUUCCAAUCAAGAAAUUCAAAGCCAAGCAAAGUGUGGACAUUCACCAACUCUCCUGGCUUCUGAGACUUUAUAGGUGGCCUCUCUGCUCUCUGGGUGCCUUUCUUUAGCAACACAGAAGUGACCUCAGAAAAGAUCUUGCCAAAGGUUCCUAGUGCUAGAGAGUGACACGGCCGUGGCCUCUAGACGCAAACAUUCCAAUGUGAUUGUAUUUCUUAGAUUGCGCGGAAGGUUGAUAAUCAGUAAACUGUUCUUAAUCGCGAGGAAGGUUAAAUGAAGAGUCUCUGAAUGAAGGUUACGUUGGCCGCCUUGCGGCGCGGUUCCGUGCUCACCGAGCACCCUCUGCCCGGCACACAGCGGCCGCCAGGUACUUCUGCCCGGGUGCAGACCGGGGUGCGCUUUCCCUUGCAGACGGACAGCCACCCUUUCAGAAAGCAGAUCACAGAAGCAGAGAUGGCUGCUGUGAUGUUUGCAAUUGGACCCCUGACUUGGAGAGAGACCAAAUCUGCAACUAAGGAUGCUGUGCUAUCAGAGAACGGCUUUGGAAAAGAUUUAUCACAGAAGAUCACUGUACUGGGGGAGAAAAGCCUAUGGGGCUCCAGAAUGGAAGGCCUGAGAAGUGGAAUGGCAGGAUAUGAUGACUGAAAAAUAUUCAAGAGCAUCACCUGAGUCAGAGACUAGUAAGGAGGGAGAAGACGCAAGCUGCUUUAAGGGGCUCCAGACUUGAAGCUUCUCUUUUCCCAGAACCAGGAAUUGUCACAGAAGGACCUGGCCAACAACGCCGAACACAUGAGGGAAUCUCCACGAAGAAUUUACAUUUGAUUGCAGAUACCCAUUUGGGGGAGAUAAUCAUCAAGGAUACAGAAGACAGAAAAAUUAUAAGGCAGACUUCAUCAUUUAUUUUGAGGGAAAAAAUCCCAGUACUGAAAAAUAAAAAACCCUAUAGAUGUAGGCA